Molecule: ribosomal RNA, 2927 nt
Filed under: Escherichia coli
Lineage: Bacteria; Pseudomonadati; Pseudomonadota; Gammaproteobacteria; Enterobacterales; Enterobacteriaceae
Description: partial 23S ribosomal RNA
Rfam family: Bacterial large subunit ribosomal RNA
Source: RNAcentral
GGGUUGUGAGGUUAAGCGACUAAGCGUACACGGUGGAUGCCCUGGCAGUCAGAGGCGAUGAAGGACGUGCUAAUCUGCGAUAAGCGUCGGUAAGGUGAUAUGAACCGUUAUAACCGGCGAUUUCCGAAUGGGGAAACCCAGUGUGUUUCGACACACUAUCAUUAACUGAAUCCAUAGGUUAAUGAGGCGAACCGGGGGAACUGAAACAUCUAAGUACCCCGAGGAAAAGAAAUCAACCGAGAUUCCCCCAGUAGCGGCGAGCGAACGGGGAGCAGCCCAGAGCCUGAAUCAGUGUGUGUGUUAGUGGAAGCGUCUGGAAAGGCGCGCGAUACAGGGUGACAGCCCCGUACACAAAAAUGCACAUGCUGUGAGCUCGAUGAGUAGGGCGGGACACGUGGUAUCCUGUCUGAAUAUGGGGGGACCAUCCUCCAAGGCUAAAUACUCCUGACUGACCGAUAGUGAACCAGUACCGUGAGGGAAAGGCGAAAAGAACCCCGGCGAGGGGAGUGAAAAAGAACCUGAAACCGUGUACGUACAAGCAGUGGGAGCACAGAGCAAUCUGUGUGACUGCGUACCUUUUGUAUAAUGGGUCAGCGACUUAUAUUCUGUAGCAAGGUUAACCGAAUAGGGGAGCCGAAGGGAAACCGAGUCUUAACUGGGCGUUAAGUUGCAGGGUAUAGACCCGAAACCCGGUGAUCUAGCCAUGGGCAGGUUGAAGGUUGGGUAACACUAACUGGAGGACCGAACCGACUAAUGUUGAAAAAUUAGCGGAUGACUUGUGGCUGGGGGUGAAAGGCCAAUCAAACCGGGAGAUAGCUGGUUCUCCCCGAAAGCUAUUUAGGUAGCGCCUCGUGAAUUCAUCUCCGGGGGUAGAGCACUGUUUCGGCAAGGGGGUCAUCCCGACUUACCAACCCGAUGCAAACUGCGAAUACCGGAGAAUGUUAUCACGGGAGACACACGGCGGGUGCUAACGUCCGUCGUGAAGAGGGAAACAACCCAGACCGCCAGCUAAGGUCCCAAAGUCAUGGUUAAGUGGGAAACGAUGUGGGAAGGCCCAGACAGCCAGGAUGUUGGCUUAGAAGCAGCCAUCAUUUAAAGAAAGCGUAAUAGCUCACUGGUCGAGUCGGCCUGCGCGGAAGAUGUAACGGGGCUAAACCAUGCACCGAAGCUGCGGCAGCGACGCUUAUGCGUUGUUGGGUAGGGGAGCGUUCUGUAAGCCUGCGAAGGUGUGCUGUGAGGCAUGCUGGAGGUAUCAGAAGUGCGAAUGCUGACAUAAGUAACGAUAAAGCGGGUGAAAAGCCCGCUCGCCGGAAGACCAAGGGUUCCUGUCCAACGUUAAUCGGGGCAGGGUGAGUCGACCCCUAAGGCGAGGCCGAAAGGCGUAGUCGAUGGGAAACAGGUUAAUAUUCCUGUACUUGGUGUUACUGCGAAGGGGGGACGGAGAAGGCUAUGUUGGCCGGGCGACGGUUGUCCCGGUUUAAGCGUGUAGGCUGGUUUUCCAGGCAAAUCCGGAAAAUCAAGGCUGAGGCGUGAUGACGAGGCACUACGGUGCUGAAGCAACAAAUGCCCUGCUUCCAGGAAAAGCCUCUAAGCAUCAGGUAACAUCAAAUCGUACCCCAAACCGACACAGGUGGUCAGGUAGAGAAUACCAAGGCGCUUGAGAGAACUCGGGUGAAGGAACUAGGCAAAAUGGUGCCGUAACUUCGGGAGAAGGCACGCUGAUAUGUAGGUGAAGUCCCUCGCGGAUGGAGCUGAAAUCAGUCGAAGAUACCAGCUGGCUGCAACUGUUUAUUAAAAACACAGCACUGUGCAAACACGAAAGUGGACGUAUACGGUGUGACGCCUGCCCGGUGCCGGAAGGUUAAUUGAUGGGGUUAGCGCAAGCGAAGCUCUUGAUCGAAGCCCCGGUAAACGGCGGCCGUAACUAUAACGGUCCUAAGGUAGCGAAAUUCCUUGUCGGGUAAGUUCCGACCUGCACGAAUGGCGUAAUGAUGGCCAGGCUGUCUCCACCCGAGACUCAGUGAAAUUGAACUCGCUGUGAAGAUGCAGUGUACCCGCGGCAAGACGGAAAGACCCCGUGAACCUUUACUAUAGCUUGACACUGAACAUUGAGCCUUGAUGUGUAGGAUAGGUGGGAGGCUUUGAAGUGUGGACGCCAGUCUGCAUGGAGCCGACCUUGAAAUACCACCCUUUAAUGUUUGAUGUUCUAACGUUGACCCGUAAUCCGGGUUGCGGACAGUGUCUGGUGGGUAGUUUGACUGGGGCGGUCUCCUCCUAAAGAGUAACGGAGGAGCACGAAGGUUGGCUAAUCCUGGUCGGACAUCAGGAGGUUAGUGCAAUGGCAUAAGCCAGCUUGACUGCGAGCGUGACGGCGCGAGCAGGUGCGAAAGCAGGUCAUAGUGAUCCGGUGGUUCUGAAUGGAAGGGCCAUCGCUCAACGGAUAAAAGGUACUCCGGGGAUAACAGGCUGAUACCGCCCAAGAGUUCAUAUCGACGGCGGUGUUUGGCACCUCGAUGUCGGCUCAUCACAUCCUGGGGCUGAAGUAGGUCCCAAGGGUAUGGCUGUUCGCCAUUUAAAGUGGUACGCGAGCUGGGUUUAGAACGUCGUGAGACAGUUCGGUCCCUAUCUGCCGUGGGCGCUGGAGAAUUGAGGGGGGCUGCUCCUAGUACGAGAGGACCGGAGUGGACGCAUCACUGGUGUUCGGGUUGUCAUGCCAAUGGCACUGCCCGGUAGCUAAAUGCGGAAGAGAUAAGUGCUGAAAGCAUCUAAGCACGAAACUUGCCCCGAGAUGAGUUCUCCCUGACUCCUUGAGAGUCCUGAAGGAACGUUGAAGACGACGACGUUGAUAGGCCGGGUGUGUAAGCGCAGCGAUGCGUUGAGCUAACCGGUACUAAUGAACCGUGAGGCUUAACCUUACAACGCCGAAG